GCCUCUAUAGCUCAGUUGGUAGAGCAUCCGCCUUGUAAGCGGAAGGUCAUCGGUUCGAACCCGAUUGGAGGCU
RNAcentral lists this transfer RNA (73 nucleotides) under Propionibacteriaceae bacterium. Its description in RNAcentral is "tRNA-Thr". It matches the Rfam family "tRNA". Rfam says of the family: Transfer RNA (tRNA) molecules are approximately 80 nucleotides in length. Their secondary structure includes four short double-helical elements and three loops (D, anti-codon, and T loops). Further hydrogen bonds mediate the characteristic L-shaped molecular structure. tRNAs have two regions of fundamental functional importance: the anti-codon, which is responsible for specific mRNA codon recognition, and the 3' end, to which the tRNAs corresponding amino acid is attached (by aminoacyl-tRNA synthetases). tRNAs cope with the degeneracy of the genetic code in two manners: having more than one tRNA (with a specific anti-codon) for a particular amino acid; and 'wobble' base-pairing, i.e. permitting non-standard base-pairing at the 3rd anti-codon position. The record is from RNAcentral. Lineage: Bacteria; Bacillati; Actinomycetota; Actinomycetes; Propionibacteriales; Propionibacteriaceae.